RNAcentral lists this ribosomal RNA (485 nucleotides) under uncultured beta proteobacterium. RNAcentral describes it as "bacterial SSU rRNA". It matches the Rfam family "Bacterial small subunit ribosomal RNA", at positions 29 to 508 of the family's 1533-position model. The record is from RNAcentral. Lineage: Bacteria; Pseudomonadati; Pseudomonadota; Betaproteobacteria.
AUUGACCGCUGGCGGCAUGCCUUACACAUGCAAGUCGAACGGCAGCNCGGGGCCAACCCUGGCGGCGAGUGGCGAACGGUUGAGUAAUACAUCGGAACGUGUCCUGGAGUGGGGGAUAGCCCGGCGAAAGCCGGAUUAAUACCGCAUACGAUCCACGGAUGAAAGCGGGGGACCGAAAGGCCUCGCGCUCAAGGGGCGGCCGAUGGCAGAUUAGCUAGUUGGUGGGGUAAAGGCCUACCAAGGCGACGAUCUGUAGCUGGUCUGAGAGGACGACCAGCCACACUGGGACUGAGACACGGCCCAGACUCCUACGGGAGGCAGCAGUGGGGAAUUUUGGACAAUGGGGGCAACCCUGAUCCAGCAAUGCCGCGUGUGUGAAGAAGGCCUUCGGGUUGUAAAGCACUUUUGUCCGGAAAGAAAACCUCCGUCCUAAUACGGUGGGGGGAUGACGGUACCGGAAGAAUAAGCACCGGCUAACUACGUGC